RNAcentral lists this ribosomal RNA (475 nucleotides) under uncultured Anoxybacillus sp. Its description in RNAcentral is "bacterial SSU rRNA". It matches the Rfam family "Bacterial small subunit ribosomal RNA", at positions 907 to 1382 of the family's 1533-position model. Lineage: Bacteria; Bacillati; Bacillota; Bacilli; Caryophanales; Anoxybacillaceae. The record is from RNAcentral.
GAAUUGACGGGGCCGCACAAGCGGUGGAGCAUGUGGUUUAAUUCGAAGCAACGCGAAGAACCUUACCAGGUCUUGACAUCCCUGACAACCCGAGAGAUCGGGCGUUCCCCUUCGGGGGACAGGGUGACAGGUGGUGCAUGGUUGUCGUCAGCUCGUGUCGUGAGAUGUUGGGUUAAGUCCCGCAACGAGCGCAACCCUCGACCUUAGUUGCCAGCAUUCAGUUGGGCACUCUAAGGUGACUGCCGGCUAAAAGUCGGAGGAAGGUGGGGAUGACGUCAAAUCAUCAUGCCCCUUAUGACCUGGGCUACACACGUGCUACAAUGGGCGGUACAAAGGGCUGCGAACCCGCGAGGGGGAGCGAAUCCCAAAAAGCCGCUCUCAGUUCGGAUUGCAGGCUGCAACUCGCCUGCAUGAAGCCGGAAUCGCUAGUAAUCGCAGGUCAGCAUACUCGCGGUCGAAUACGUUCCCGGGCCUU